Cyprinus carpio (common carp) is the source of this 347-nucleotide long non-coding RNA. RefSeq lists it as uncharacterized. NCBI's taxonomy places the organism in Eukaryota, Metazoa, Chordata, Actinopteri, Cypriniformes, Cyprinidae. The record is from RefSeq and is a predicted model, not a curated record. The transcript has 3 exons.
AGGUUGUGGUGCAGUUGACCCCUGUUCUAAACCCCUUGCAGCCUUUUCCUGUAGGAACUGAGUUCAUAACAUACACAGCAACCGACCGCACAGGAAACAAGGCCAACUGCUCUUUCACUGUUACUGUAGUUGAUACGGAACCCCCUUUGAUUGACAGAUGCAGAUCUCCACCCACCGUUAAGGCCACUGGGAAGAAAACUGCAGUAUACUGGGAAGAACCUCAGUUUUCAGACAAUUCUGGAGCCUAUUUGAAUAUCUCUAGUAUUCACUCAUCUGGAGAUGUAUUUCCUGUUGGAGAAACUUUAGUGUACUAUACAGCCACAGACCCUCUUCUGGAAACAAUCGUA